CGGCGGACGGGUGAGUAACGCGUGGGUAACCUACCUUACACAGGGGGAGUAACAGUUAGAAAUGACUGCUAAUACCGCAUAACCCGCUAGGGCCGCAUGGCCCGGACGGAAAAGAUUUCAUCGGUGUAAGAUGGACCCGCGUCUGAUUAGCUGGUUGGUGAGGUAACGGCCCACCAAGGCGACGAUCAGUAGCCGACCUGAGAGGGUGAUCGGCCACAUUGGGACUGAGACACGGCCCAAACUCCUACGGGAGGCAGCAG
RNAcentral lists this ribosomal RNA (260 nucleotides) under uncultured bacterium. RNAcentral describes it as "partial 16S ribosomal RNA". It matches the Rfam family "Bacterial small subunit ribosomal RNA", at positions 96 to 354 of the family's 1533-position model. The record is from RNAcentral.